GCACCUCCCCCAGGUGGGUGGGGGGGGCAGAGCCAGGUCUCGCUUGGCUCUGGGAGAGGAC
Molecule: small RNA, 61 nt
Filed under: Nipponia nippon (crested ibis)
Lineage: Eukaryota; Metazoa; Chordata; Aves; Pelecaniformes; Threskiornithidae
Description: Whalefall-1 RNA
Rfam family: Whalefall-1 RNA
Source: Rfam by way of RNAcentral